RNAcentral lists this ribosomal RNA (387 nucleotides) under Stenodactylus sthenodactylus (elegant gecko). Its description in RNAcentral is "partial 12S ribosomal RNA". It matches the Rfam family "Bacterial small subunit ribosomal RNA", at positions 796 to 1381 of the family's 1533-position model. Lineage: Eukaryota; Metazoa; Chordata; Lepidosauria; Squamata; Gekkonidae. The record is from RNAcentral.
UCAGCCAUAAACCAAGACAGUAAACUCACACCACUGUCCGCCAGAGAAUUACCAGCAAAAAGCUUAAAACUCAAAGGACUUGACGGUGUCCCACACCAACCUAGAGGGGCCUGUCCUAUAAUCGAUAACCCACGCUUCACCCGCCCCGCUCUUGCCUCACAGUCUAUAUACCGCCGUCUUCAACCUGCCUAUUGAUAGAUACCUAACACGUACAACUGGCCCCCCCCAAACACGUCAGGUCAAGGUGUAGCUAACGAGCCGGAAGAGAUGGGCCACAUUUUCUUCAUACCAAGAAAACACCACAGGCGCCAUGAAACCCCGCCAAAAAGGCGGAUUUAGUAGUAAGCCUGGAAUAGACCAAGCCAGACUGAAACAUGCUCUGGGACG